This 484-nucleotide ribosomal RNA is filed under the name uncultured bacterium. Its description in RNAcentral is "partial 16S ribosomal RNA". It matches the Rfam family "Bacterial small subunit ribosomal RNA", at positions 30 to 507 of the family's 1533-position model. The record is from RNAcentral.
AUUGAACGCUGGCGGCAGGCCUAACACAUGCAAGUCGAGCGGAUGAAGGGAGCUUGCUCCUGGAUUCAGCGGCGGACGGGUGAGUAAUGCCUAGGAAUCUGCCUGGUAGUGGGGGAUAACGUCCGGACACGGGCGCUAAUACCGCAUACGUCCUGAGGGAGAAAGUGGGGGAUCUUCGGACCUCACGCUAUCAGAUGAGCCUAGGUCGGAUUAGCUAGUUGGUGGGGUAAAGGCCUACCAAGGCGACGAUCCGUAACUGGUCUGAGAGGAUGAUCAGUCACACUGGAACUGAGACACGGUCCAGACUCCUAAGAGAGGCAGCAGUGGGGAAUAUUGGACAAUGGGCGAAAGCCUGAGCCAGCCAUGCCGCGUGUGUGAAGAAGGUCUUCGGAUUGUAAAGCACUGUUGGUUGGAAGGAAGGGCAGGAAGUUAAUACCUUGCUGUUUUGACGUUACCAACAGAAUAAGCACCGGCUAACUUCGUG